GCAGUCGAGCGGAUGAAGGGAGCUUGCUCCUGGAUUCAGCGGCGGACGGGUGAGUAAUGCCUAGGAAUCUGCCUGGUAGUGGGGGAUAACGUCCGGAAACGGGCGCUAAUACCGCAUACGUCCUGAGGGAGAAAGUGGGGGAUCUUCGGACCUCACGCUAUCAGAUGAGCCUAGGUCGGAUUAGCUAGUUGGUGGGGUAAAGGCCUACCAAGGCGACGAUCCGUAACUGGUCUGAGAGGAUGAUCAGUCACACUGGAACUGAGACACGGUCCAGACUCCUACGGGAGGCAGCAGUGGGGAAUAUUGGACAAUGGGCGAAAGCCUGAUCCAGCCAUGCCGCGUGUGUGAAGAAGGUCUUCGGAUUGUAAAGCACUUUAAGUUGGGAGGAAGGGCAGUAAGUUAAUACCUUGCUGUUUUGACGUUACCAACAGAAUAAGCACCGGCUAACUUCGUGCCAGCAGCCGCGGUAAUACGAAGGGUGCAAGCGUUAAUCGGAAUUACUGGGCGUAAAGCGCGCGUAGGUGGUUCAGCAAGUUGGAUGUGAAAUCCCCGGGCUCAACCUGGGAACUGCAUCCAAAACUACUGAGCUAGAGUACGGUAGAGGGUGGUGGAAUUUCCUGUGUAGCGGUGAAAUGCGUAGAUAUAGGAAGGAACACCAGUGGCGAAGGCGACCACCUGGACUGAUACUGACACUGAGGUGCGAAAGCGUGGGGAGCAAACAGGAUUAGAUACCCUGGUAGUCCACGCCGUAAACGAUGUCGACUAGCCGUUGGGAUCCUUGAGAUCUUAGUGGCGCAGCUAACGCGAUAAGUCGACCGCCUGGGGGAGUACGGCCGCCA
RNAcentral lists this ribosomal RNA (839 nucleotides) under Pseudomonas aeruginosa. Its description in RNAcentral is "bacterial SSU rRNA". It matches the Rfam family "Bacterial small subunit ribosomal RNA", at positions 57 to 891 of the family's 1533-position model. Lineage: Bacteria; Pseudomonadati; Pseudomonadota; Gammaproteobacteria; Pseudomonadales; Pseudomonadaceae. The record is from RNAcentral.